CCCCCUGUUUUUCCAGCGCAAUUAUUCACAGCACCCUUCCCCCCACCAGAAAAAGUCCCACUUCGGAUGGAAACAAAUUAUCCAAGUCUCCUUAUCAAUCACCAUUUGUAUGCAGAUGCCUCCUGAAUUGCCGCAAAGCCCAGUGGCUCAGAGGGGGGCUCGGAAUCAGCUCCCCGGGUUUAUAUCCGGUUCCACCGCUUACGAGCCUCUGAGACCCAGGGCCGUUUAAGUCAUUUUUUUGCACUCCAGAACCCUCAUCAGCAAAACGAGAAUAAUACCACGAAUCUCUUUAGAAGUGAGGGUUAAAUGAACGAAGUCACUAGCGUGAGGUCCACCGCGUUUUUAAGUGCUUAAUAAAUUAAGCCAGCCCAAACUUGUCUCCUGAGUUCCAGACGCAUUCAGCUACACUAUGCUAUAGACGGAUCUGGAAGACCUGUGUUCCCACCGCUCCGUGUGUUGGCAGCAGUGGGACCAAGGACUUUGCCAGUUUUAAGCUUCAGGGCUUGGAACCAGAAGAGAGACAAGGUCCAAGAGGAGAGAAGCUCACCUGGAGAAUGGAACGGGCAAACUCACUCUGACACUGGCUUUUUUCAAGUCCUGUUUUCCUCCCUUCAGCUCCGAGUUUGGACCCGUGAGCUUCCCUUCCUGCUGCCAGGUUCAGCCAGGCUUUUGGCUUCUUUAUCCCUCAGUGACAAAAUCAUGUCAACGGCUCUGCACUCACCAGGGUUAACUGUGGAAAUCAGAUGAAAUGCUCUGUAAACUUUGCACAUGUUCGUUGUUGUUAUUCUCGAGCCACGUCUGCAUGUUCAAGUGUUGGGAUGUUACUCGUUAAGAGAGCUUUCCAGUCAAAUGAAGGACUUAAUUUAUUACUGAGAAAUGCUAAUUUCACUUGUUAUUCAGUAACAUUUGGUGUCCACUCCACCAGUAUACUAAGUGUUUUACCUGCUUAUCUGUGACAUUGCUUUUUUAUUUUUCCCCAUUUUACACAUUCAAAAAUUAAGUUUGGAAGAUGAAGUCGUCUGCCCAAGGUCGUCUAUUUUAUAAAAAGCAGAGCUGAGAGUCAAAACUGAUGCCAAGCCUUUGUGGUCAACCACAACAUACAAGAUUGCACAGACAGCCGAUGCUUCACAUCCUUUCUCCUGUUCACAACUGGCUGUCUCUUUUUACUGUACGUUUUUAGAGAUAGGGUAGUGUAUCGAUCAUAAAUCUUUCUUAUUACAAAAUAACAGUUGUCUCUUCAGGGCUGUCCAGUUAAGUGGGGGUAGGGUGAAGGGGGUUAGGACGGUGAUUCCUCUCUACAGUAAGUGCCCAAGAAAUGGGGAUCCUAAUUAAUGCUUAAAAUAAAAUGGGAAAACUGGAAAGUA
Leopardus geoffroyi (Geoffroy's cat) is the source of this 1364-nucleotide long non-coding RNA. RefSeq lists it as uncharacterized. The record is from RefSeq and is a predicted model, not a curated record. The transcript has 2 exons. NCBI's taxonomy places the organism in Eukaryota, Metazoa, Chordata, Mammalia, Carnivora, Felidae.